UCUAUGUCCAGUUCAGGGAGGAAGAGCAGGCAGUGGCUGCUCACAACGCCCUCCAAGGCCGCUUCUACUCUGGUCGCCCGAUCAUCGUGGAGUACUCCCCUGUCACGGACUUCCGUGAGGCUACCUGCAGGCAGUUUGAGGAGAACAGCUGCAACCGUGGUGGCUACUGCAACUUCAUGCACGUGAAGCAGAUUGGUAGGGAGCUCAGGAGGAAGCUAUAUGGUGGGCGUUCCAGGAGGAGCCACGGGAGGAGCCGCAGCCCGAGCCCACAGCACAGGAGGGACAACCGUGACCGUGGUGGCGACUUCCGCCGUGAUGGCCGGGAUGAAUACCGUGGUGGCGGUGGCGGUUACCGUGGAGGCGAUGGAGGUGAUGGUGGCGGUUACCGUGGAGGUGGUGGUGGUGGCUACCGUGGAGGUGAUGGGGGUGGCUAUCGUGGUGGUGGUGGUGGCGGUUACCGUGGUGGCGGCAGGGGUGGAGGUGGUGGCAGGCAUGACAGGUAUGAUGAUGGACCAAGGCGCAGGUAUGGUGGCAGCCCGCCACGACGUGGAAGGAGCCCUCCAGCCAGG
This 569-nucleotide long non-coding RNA is filed under the name Triticum aestivum (bread wheat). Its description in RNAcentral is "long non-coding RNA (TAES_LNC019806)". Lineage: Eukaryota; Viridiplantae; Streptophyta; Magnoliopsida; Poales; Poaceae. The record is from RNAcentral.